Molecule: small nucleolar RNA, 134 nt
Organism: Nycticebus coucang (slow loris)
Lineage: Eukaryota; Metazoa; Chordata; Mammalia; Primates; Lorisidae
Product: small nucleolar RNA SNORA70
Exons: 1
Source: RefSeq, a predicted model, not a curated record
AUUCAUAUAUAUGGUUGUUCCCGCUCCUUUCCUCAUAGGGGACUGGUGUGCAGUGGCUGCAAACAGCAGCCUCCUUGGUAGUGUUUGCAGCCUGUUGGUGGUGUAGGUUGCUCUAAGGGACCUUGGAGACAUUC